RNAcentral lists this ribosomal RNA (253 nucleotides) under uncultured bacterium. Its description in RNAcentral is "partial 16S ribosomal RNA". It matches the Rfam family "Bacterial small subunit ribosomal RNA", at positions 524 to 776 of the family's 1533-position model. The record is from RNAcentral.
UACGGGGGGGGCAAGCGUUGUUCGGAAUUACUGGGCGUAAAGCGCGUGUAGGCGGCUAUGUAAGUCGGGCGUGAAAUCCCACGGCUCAACCGUGGAAGUGCACCCGAAACUGCGUAGCUAGAGUCCUGGAGAGGAAGGUGGAAUGCUUGGUGUAGAGGUGAAAUUCGUAGAUAUCAAGCGGAACACCGGUGGCGAAGGCGGCCUUCUGGACAGUGACUGACGCUGAGACGCGAAAGCGUGGGGAGCAAACAGG